CACAUAGUCAAGGUUAUGACACUGUGGUUUUAUGUUUUCACUUCUGAGUUUCGUUUCCUUUAUGAGGUCCAAGUUAGUCACGAGAGUGUCACUUCUUGCUAAACCUACAAACUGUUUUAGGAUAGAAACUAGUAAAUGUCUUUGUUGCACAAUUAGGAACAUGGAGAUUUUAUCGUCUGAUUCACACAUGCUUCAGAAGAGCAGUUUAAAUGUAGGCCGCAGCAGAGGGACGACGUUGGUUGGUGGAGAUAAACAUCAAUCAAACUGGACGCCCCCCAGGGCGAUACCACCCCCGACUCAACAAUAGGGUGUCUUCAUGCUCCCCCGACCCACGUAAACCCCCGCUAAGCCAUCCAGCCCCCCC
Molecule: long non-coding RNA, 364 nt
Organism: Esox lucius (northern pike)
Lineage: Eukaryota; Metazoa; Chordata; Actinopteri; Esociformes; Esocidae
Source: Ensembl